CAAGAUAUAGCUAUUUAGUAAGCCCCUCUUUUACACAGAGUUGAUGUCCGUGCAAUUCGGGCUGUCUUGA
Molecule: transfer RNA, 70 nt
Filed under: Nacospatangus altus
Lineage: Eukaryota; Metazoa; Echinodermata; Echinoidea; Spatangoida; Maretiidae
Description: Nacospatangus alta tRNA-Val
Source: RNAcentral